GAGUGAUCCUGCGCCGAAGAUUUCCGGGGCUAAAACUUACUACCGAAGCUACGGCAUCAUUAUGAUGGGUAGGGGAGCUUCCCAUACGGGUUGAAGCAUGACCGUAAGGACAUGUGGACAGUAUGGGCGUGAGAAUGUUGGCAUGAGUAGCGAGAUGUGGGUGAGAAUCCCACAGGCCGUAAACCCAAGGUUUCCAGGGGAAGGUUCGUCCGC
Molecule: ribosomal RNA, 213 nt
Filed under: Clostridioides difficile
Lineage: Bacteria; Bacillati; Bacillota; Clostridia; Peptostreptococcales; Peptostreptococcaceae
Description: partial 23S ribosomal RNA
Rfam family: Bacterial large subunit ribosomal RNA
Source: RNAcentral